Oryzias latipes (Japanese medaka) is the source of this 45-nucleotide non-coding RNA. The record is from Rfam. NCBI's taxonomy places the organism in Eukaryota, Metazoa, Chordata, Actinopteri, Beloniformes, Adrianichthyidae.
ACAACGGCUCUUUUGAGAGCCAUCCACAAAACUUUUAAGAGCUUG